Molecule: non-coding RNA, 32 nt
Filed under: Mus musculus (house mouse)
Lineage: Eukaryota; Metazoa; Chordata; Mammalia; Rodentia; Muridae
Source: RNAcentral
UUGAACUUCCAGUUUUUAAGUGCCAUUAGCCU